UACGAAGGUGGCUAGCGUUGUUCGGAUUUAUUGGGCGUAAAGGGUCCGUAGGCGGUUUGAUAAGUCAGGUGUGAAAUCCCACAGCUUAACUGUGGACACGCGCCCGAUACUGUCAGACUAGAGUAUGAGAGGGGUAAGAGGAAUUUCCAGUGUAGGGGUGAAAUCCGUAGAUAUUGGAAAGAACACCGGCCGCGAAGGCGUCUUACUGG
Molecule: ribosomal RNA, 209 nt
Filed under: uncultured prokaryote
Description: partial 16S ribosomal RNA
Rfam family: Bacterial small subunit ribosomal RNA
Source: RNAcentral